CAAACACACCCUUAGUACUGCUGCUGCUGGUAAACUCAAAUUUUCAUCAGCAACAUGUGCCUCAGAAUUUUUUUGGCAUUUCUAUAAACAUAAGCACCCUCUUUUUCCUCAUGUUCCUAUCUACAAGAAACCCUUUCCUCAUAUUCCUAUCUACAAACCUCCUUUUCCUCAUAUUCCUAUCUUCAAAAAACCUUUCCCUCCACAUGAGCCUAUCUAUGAAAAACCUCUUCCUCCGCCUACACCGGUCUAUGAAAAACCAGUUCCUCCGCCUACACCUGUCUAUGAAAAACCUCUUCCUCCGCCUACACCGGUCUAUGAGAAACCUCUUCCCCCGCCUACACCUGUCUAUGAGCCUCCACCAACUCCUGUAUAUCAUAAACCUCUUCCCCCACCUACGCCUGUCUAUGAGAAACCUCUUCCUCCACCUACACCUGUAUAUCAUAAACCACAUCCACCACCGGCUCCGGUCAAAGGUUGUCCACCAAAGGUUGAACACCCAAUUCUACCACCUGCUCCAGUAUACAAACCUCCUCCAGUUCCAAAGCCACAACCACCACCGGUUCCGGUCAAGAAACCAUGUCCACCAAAGGUUGAACAUCCAAUUCUGCCACCUGUUCCAAUCUAUAAACCGCCAGUGGUAGUUCCAAAGCCACCUGUGGUUCCAAUUUACAAGCCACCAGUUCCGGUUUACAAACCACCAGUUCCAGUUUACAAGCCACCAGUUCCGAUUUACAAGCCACCAGUUGUUAUUAAGCCUCUUCCACCAUUCCCAAAGUAUCCUCCAUACAAGAAACCACCAUGUCCACCUCUCCCUACUCUCCCACCAAAGCAUGAUUUUUUCCAUCACCCCAAGUAUGGAAAAUUACCUCCAUUGCCUCCAAAGAGCUUUUUCCACCACCCCAAAUACGGAAAAUGGCCNNNNNNNNNNNNNNNNNNNNNNNNNNNNNCAAAAUAUGGAAAAUUGCCUCCAAAAAGCAUCUUCCAUCACCCAAAGUUUGGAAAAUUACCCCCAAUAAAAAGCUUCUUCCAUCACCCCAAGUUUGGUAAAUGGCCUCCAUUAAGUCCUCAUCAUUAGGAGCCAUGUUUGAGUUUGCAAACUAUUCAUGUUUUUUAGCUUCUUUGUUUCUUUAAUUAUCAUCAUCAAUCAAUUUGCAAAUAAAUUAAGCCUUCAAGGGAUAGAGCAUGUGAACACUAAACAGAAGAGCAUCAAGGGAUCAUAGAGAAAACAGAAAUAGCAUCAUGUUGUUUGAAGAAGUUUGAUGAAGCUGAGUGUAAUAAUUUAUUGUUCUUGAGUGAAGAUCACAAGAUUUUUUUUAACAUUUUUCUUUCUUUCAUGUGUAUAUAAAUGUGUUAUUUGUGAUGGUUUUUCCCACUUUAUGUGUCUGUGUUAUUAAUUCGUACUUGAUCUGCAACUAAUAAAUCCAUUUGUAUUGUUAAUCAUUGCCAUUGAUGAGUUGUACCAGUAGUGCUUAAAUUUUUUGCAUACCUCAAGCUGAAGCCUUUCUUAUUGGUUGUAAAAAAAAAAAAAGAAGUAAAAACAUUGUCACUGAUAGAUACUUUCACGUACGU
This 1569-nucleotide long non-coding RNA is filed under the name Trifolium pratense (red clover). RNAcentral describes it as "long non-coding RNA (TPRA_LNC001534)". Lineage: Eukaryota; Viridiplantae; Streptophyta; Magnoliopsida; Fabales; Fabaceae. The record is from RNAcentral.